Long non-coding RNA from Triplophysa rosa, 1818 nucleotides. RefSeq lists it as uncharacterized. The transcript has 3 exons. The record is from RefSeq and is a predicted model, not a curated record. Lineage: Eukaryota; Metazoa; Chordata; Actinopteri; Cypriniformes; Nemacheilidae.
UCAAAAUUACAAAGCUGCACUACUCUUGAGGUUGGAACUUUCAUGUUUCCUGAAAGUGAUAUGACAGCCCCGUUGAAAAAAACAGCAUAUGCUGGUUAGGUAUGUUUUGAAGCAUGGUAGCUGGUUUAAGCUGAGAACCAGCCGGUUGCAUAAAGCACCUUAAGUGUAAUUUUGCCUUAAGUGUGUCCUUAAGUAUACCUUAAGUUUUACUAAAGUUAUUCUCCUAUUGUCUUCGGUAAAGGGAAAUCACCUCUAAAGUGUCAUACUUAAGGGAAAAAAUUAAGCUGCUUUAUGCAACCGGGCCCCGCACAUGACCAGCUCAAACCAGCUACCAUGCUUCAAAACAUACCUAACUACAGUAGCAUAAGGCUGUUUUUUUCAACAGGGAGAGAAAGCACAUGGCAGUAAACAUGACAAAAGUUGCAAUAGUCUAGCCAACAAAAACAUGAUUAAUGAUAAUCAUUAAUAAAUUCAUUUUUUCUCAUAUCAUGAAUGGCUAUGGCCUAACCACUACAGUCCAUACAUUAAACCUGGUUAGCUCAGAGAGAAAAACCUUAAAGACAGGAGAAUGGACUGAUUUAAAACUGCAGUUAAAGAAACAUAUGAAAACAAACGUAAUCAGAAUAGAACUUUGGAGAAUGUGGCCAGAGGCUUAACAGAUUUGUUCAAAUUCAAGAGGAUCAUUCUAGGACAAUACAUCGAGCUGUAAGUUACCAUAAUGUUAAUACAUUUAGUAAUGAUCUUUUCAUAUAGGCCUGCAGUAUGUCAUAAGCAUCUUGUUUGCUCUUUUGUUAUUUUGUAAAAGUAGUGGCUGCAUUUUUGUUGAUUGUCGUCAGCCCUAAUUUUGUUUCAUGUAAUGGCACUGAAACAUUUUAUAUUUGUGUGCCUGUUUUUUAGAAACCACUUCCAAGCACCAAACGUGUGUAUUCAUUAAACUUGUACCAUACAUUAGUUAAUUUUAUUCAUAUACUGCAAUGAAAACAUCUGACCAAUUAAAUAUAUAGCAACAUUCAAAUAAAACUAAACACGUUUAUUUUCUUUUAAAAACAACCUAUCUUAACUAUAGCUGUUGUUACUACACUUGCUAUUGGUAAACAGAUGUCAUUGGUUGACUCCCCGUGCUGCUUUGAGCACGAUUGGGUAAACUUACUGUCAUUCAGGAAACUAGCCAAUUAGAGCUGUUCGCGCCCUUCACUGGUUCAUUUUGAACAUACGCGAGGAAUUGAUGUCUGUCAGUUAGUUUCAGUAGUAUUGAUGGUCCAGUUAUAUGUAAACAGCGCUGGAGACACGAAGUCGUGUGGAAGUUGCAGGCUGCUGGAGAAUAAUCACACGCAUUAACAGCUUUACCAGCGACCAGCAGAAGUACACAGAAAUAUAUGAUAAGAUUUGCCUGGGCAGUAUACACACCUGAUGAAGGUAAGAAAAGCUACCCAGGCCCCCAAACUACAUCAGUAGUAAGUGUUUAAACAUUCGACCUGAGUAUUUGUAUUAUGUUGCUAUUAACAAAUGUGUAAUAUUAUGUACAGUUGUGCUCAAACGUUUACACACCCCUUGAAGAAUCUGGAAAAAGCUGAAACUUUUGGAAAAUAAGAGGAAUUUUUAAAAUUAAGGUUUAUUUUUAAUUUAGUCCUGCCCUGAGCAAGUUAUUUCACUAAAGAAAUGUUAACAUAUCGUUCACACACUAAAGAAUAAUAACAGAAUUUCUAAAAAUAGCCCAGGGCAAAAGUUCACAUGCCCCUGAUUCUUAAUACUGUAUGAUGGUACCUAAACAAUCAAUGACAGUUUUUAUGUUUAGUCAUAGUUGUUUAAAGGUUUCUG